GAAAUGCGAUAAGUAAUGUGAAUUGCAGAAUUCCGUGAAUCAUCGAGUUUUUGAACGCACAUUGCGCCCCUUGGCAUUCCGAGAGGCACACCUGUUCGAGCGUCAUGACAACCAUCAAGCCGGGCUUGGUCUUGGGCGCGGCCCCCCCCGGCCCGCCUGAAAGACGUUGGCGGCUCGGCCCGACCCGCGUGUGACGACCUCACCGUUCCGGGUCGUGGCGCGCGCCCGCCCCCUCCGUUUUCCCUCUGGUUGACCUCGGAUCAGGUGGGGAUACCCGCUGAACUUAA
RNAcentral lists this unclassified non-coding RNA (287 nucleotides) under uncultured Lobariaceae. RNAcentral's name for it is "sequence contains ITS1". The stretch from base 1 to 105 matches the Rfam family "5.8S ribosomal RNA", at positions 50 to 154 of the family's 154-position model. The record is from RNAcentral. Lineage: Eukaryota; Fungi; Ascomycota; Lecanoromycetes; Lecanorales.